CACGAACCGGACAAACGUUAUUCGGAAUUAUUGGGCUUAAAGGGUGCGUAGGCGGUGCGGUAAGUGCGGUGUGAAAGCCCUCGGCUCAACCGAGGAAUUGCGCUGCAUACUGCCGUGCUAGAGGGAGACAGAGGUAAGCGGAACUGAUGGUGGAGCGGUGAAAUGCGUUGAUAUCAUCAGGAACACCGGUGGCGAAAGCGGCUUACUGGGUCUCUUCUGACGCUGAGGCACGAAAGCUAGGGUAGCGAACGGG
Molecule: ribosomal RNA, 253 nt
Filed under: uncultured bacterium
Lineage: Bacteria
Description: partial 16S ribosomal RNA
Rfam family: Bacterial small subunit ribosomal RNA
Source: RNAcentral